GAAAUGCGAUACGUAAUGCGAAUUGCAGAAUUCAGUGAAUCAUCAAGUUUUUGAACGCAACUUGCGCUUUCGGGAAAUGCCCGAAAGCAUGCCCUUUUGAGCGUCGGUUCACACAUCUUCUCCACAUCUUUUGGGUGUGGGAAAGUGAGCGAUGUGUUUGGUGCAAACCAAAAACUCGCUUGAAACCGACUGAGGCUAUCUCUAACCUUGAUUCGAUUUCGAAUUGGGCGCGGAUAAUUUGUGUUUUUUCGUAAAACACUAUCCUUGCGUCGUAAAUUUGAAUGAAAUCGGUUGGAAAGGAUUCCUCAACAACCUUUUUUUUUGGUUUUGCAUUGCAAUACCAAGGAAAAAAACUGAAAUUGAAAUCAGACCUCAAAUAGGGCAAGAGUACCCGCUGAAC
RNAcentral lists this unclassified non-coding RNA (400 nucleotides) under uncultured fungus. Its description in RNAcentral is "sequence contains ITS1". The stretch from base 1 to 106 matches the Rfam family "5.8S ribosomal RNA", at positions 50 to 154 of the family's 154-position model. Lineage: Eukaryota; Fungi. The record is from RNAcentral.